UGGGGAAUAUUGCGCAAUGGGGGCAACCCUGACGCAGCAACGCCGCGUGAUUGAAGAAGGCCUUCGGGUUGUAAAGAUCUUUAAUCAGGGACGAAACAUGACGGUACCUGAAGAAUAAGCUCCGGCUAACUACGUGCCAGCAGCCGCGGUAAUACGUAGGGAGCAAGCGUUAUCCGGAUUUACUGGGUGUAAAGGGCGCGCAGGCGGGCCGGCAAGUUGGGAGUGAAAUCCGGGGGCUUAACCCCCGAACUGCUUUCAAAACUGCUGGUCUUGAGUGAUGGAGAGGCAGGCGGAAUUCCGUGUGUAGCGGUGAAAUGCGUAGAUAUACGGAGGAACACCAGUGGCGAAGGCGGCCUGCUGGACAUUAACUGACGCUGAGGCGCGAAAGCGUGGGGAGCAAACAGG
Molecule: ribosomal RNA, 405 nt
Filed under: uncultured Eubacterium sp.
Lineage: Bacteria; Bacillati; Bacillota; Clostridia; Eubacteriales; Eubacteriaceae
Description: bacterial SSU rRNA
Rfam family: Bacterial small subunit ribosomal RNA
Source: RNAcentral